CGGGGUGUGGCCUCGUCCGGUCCACGGCGCCGCGUUCGGGACGCGGAGAUCGCAGGUUCAAAUCCUGCCACCCCGACCA
This 79-nucleotide transfer RNA is filed under the name Burkholderia territorii. RNAcentral describes it as "tRNA-Pro". It matches the Rfam family "tRNA". From Rfam's summary of the family: Transfer RNA (tRNA) molecules are approximately 80 nucleotides in length. Their secondary structure includes four short double-helical elements and three loops (D, anti-codon, and T loops). The record is from RNAcentral. Lineage: Bacteria; Pseudomonadati; Pseudomonadota; Betaproteobacteria; Burkholderiales; Burkholderiaceae.